UGGAAGUAAAAGUCGUAACAAGGUCUCCGUUGGUGAACCAGCGGAGGGAUCAUUACCGAGUUUACAACUCCCAAACCCAAUGUGAACGUUACCAAACUGUUGCCUCGGCGGGAUCUCUGCCCCGGGUGCGUCGCAGCCCCGGACCAAGGCGCCCGCCGGAGGACCAACCAAAACUCUUAUUGUAUACCCCCUCGCGGGUUUUUUACUAUCUGAGCCAUCUCGGCGCCCCUCGUGGGCGUUUCGAAAAUGAAUCAAAACUUUCAACAACGGAUCUCUUGGUUCUGGCAUCGAUGAAGAACGCAGCGAAAUGCGAUAAGUAAUGUGAAUUGCAGAAUUCAGUGAAUCAUCGAAUCUUUGAACGCACAUUGCGCCCGCCAGUAUUCUGGCGGGCAUGCCUGUCCGAGCGUCAUUUCAACCCUCGAACCCCUCCGGGGGGUCGGCGUUGGGGAUCGGCCCUUUACGGGGCCGGCCCCGAAAUACAGUGGCGGUCUCGCCGCAGCCUCUCCUGCGCAGUAGUUUGCACACUCGCAUCGGGAGCGCGGCGCGUCCACAGCCGUUAAACACCCCAAACUUCUGAAAUGUUGACCUCGGAUCAGGUAGGAAUACCCGCUGAACUUAAGCAUAUCAAUAAGCGGAGGA
This 639-nucleotide ribosomal RNA is filed under the name Trichoderma virens. RNAcentral's name for it is "eukaryotic LSU rRNA". The stretch from base 256 to 409 matches the Rfam family "5.8S ribosomal RNA". The record is from RNAcentral. Lineage: Eukaryota; Fungi; Ascomycota; Sordariomycetes; Hypocreales; Hypocreaceae.